UAUGCCCUAUGUGGUCUGAAGAUACUACUUGAUACAAGCUCGGAGACUUUUUGACCCUCUGAGGAAGAUUGCUUUUUCUCAGUCAAGGAGUUGCGCUGCGUUUCUCUCUUCGGGGUAACAGGGAUGGAAGUGGUGGGUCAGGCAAUAAGACAGGCGCAGUAGCAUGGAGAGAACUGUGUCUUGGAAGAUGGCCCCCUUCUGCUUCUCUUUACAAGAGCUGAGAGACCCUCUCCCAUCAAAAAAAGUUAUGCUCACAUGAGGGAAGGUGCCAGUGGAGGCCAGAAGAGAGCAUCAUAUCCCCUGGAGUUGAAGAGAUGGUGGUUGUGAGCCACGUGACAUGGAUCUGAGAACUGAAUUUGGGUCCUCUGCAGGAGCAGUAUAUGUUCAAAGCUGUUAAUCCAUCUUGCUGCUAAUUAAUGUUUUGUGGAUAUUUAUAAAUCAUGACAAA
This is a long non-coding RNA of Psammomys obesus (fat sand rat), 448 nucleotides long. RefSeq lists it as uncharacterized. Lineage: Eukaryota; Metazoa; Chordata; Mammalia; Rodentia; Muridae. The record is from RefSeq and is a predicted model, not a curated record. The transcript is spliced from 3 exons.